Long non-coding RNA from Puntigrus tetrazona (Sumatra barb), 974 nucleotides. RefSeq lists it as uncharacterized. NCBI's taxonomy places the organism in Eukaryota, Metazoa, Chordata, Actinopteri, Cypriniformes, Cyprinidae. The transcript has 4 exons. The record is from RefSeq and is a predicted model, not a curated record.
GAGACAUCUGAGAUAUUAAAGGGCUGUAGUAGCUGGUGUUUUUGUUUGGUGGAGGCUCAGGCUUUCUCAGAUCAUCUCGAGAGGAAUAGGAGGUCAGGUGUUUGUAGGCAGGUCACAGAGACUCUUUGAUACUGACUCACGCCGCUUGUUCCCCGAGCGAGGGUUGAUGAGGGUCUCUGGUGUUCUCCAGCCGUUUCUGCACAUUAUUCUCACAUGCUGAUGGGUUUCUGGACAUGUGGAGACUCGUGUGGGAGUGCGUGAUGGUGUAUGAAGACGCAGGACGGGCUCAUUAGUCUCCGGAGGUAAACACAAGCACAAAGACACCGGCUGAAGAUGAAUCAGAGGGAAGCCACGCUGAGAUGUGUGUGGAUUGUUAGUCGUGGGUUCAUACUGUAACUGACGGGACGUUUGUGAAAACAGUCCUAAAUGAAAACAGGCUUCCUUCUUCAGGACCGACCUUCUUACAGCCGUUUUUUACGACUGUGCUUCAGCUUUGAUCCGCCGCUGAAUCACUCGCCACGAGCCAGCCGUUCGUUACUGAAGAACUGGACCAACUCACGCCACAUUACCGUGGGCUUUCAUUACAGGAUUUGUUAAAGGGUCAUUCGCUUGAGAUAUCUGGACUGACAGUAAAAUACCAGCCAGAGCCAUUAGGUCUGAAGCACAAUCCAUCUCCUCAUGCUUCACAAAAAAAGUACAUUACGGUGACUCUUUCACGGAGCCAGCUUUGUGCAAAAACUCCUCUCCGGAUGCUUUGGUGCGUACGCUGGCCUUCGAAAUGCAACGCAGCUUUGUGUUAAGAGCAAAUAUUUCGUGCUUUUGUUUCUGCCCGAGUCUUGGGGAUUCGUGACUUCUUGCAAAAAAAAAUCUGUUUGCAUUUCAAGUCGAGAGGAAAUCAAACCACGCCGUAUGCAAAUAUAAAAUAUGUGCAUAUGUUUCGUGCAUGAAAUAUAUUUUCAAGUGAUAUAUGUAAA